UACGUAGGGUGCAAGCGUUAAUCGGAAUUACUGGGCGUAAAGCGUGCGCAGGCGGUUGUGCAAGACAGAUGUGAAAUCCCCGGGCUCAACCUGGGAAUGGCGAUGAAGACUGCAAGGCUAGAAUCUGGCAGAGGGGGGUAGAAUUCCACGUGUAGCAGUGAAAUGCGUAGAGAUGUGGAGGAACACCGAUGGCGAAGGCGGCCCCCUGGGUCAAGAUUGACGCUCAUGCACGAAAGCGUGGGGAGCAAACAGG
RNAcentral lists this ribosomal RNA (253 nucleotides) under uncultured bacterium. RNAcentral's name for it is "partial 16S ribosomal RNA". It matches the Rfam family "Bacterial small subunit ribosomal RNA", at positions 524 to 776 of the family's 1533-position model. The record is from RNAcentral.